This 224-nucleotide non-coding RNA is filed under the name Sphingomonas sp. The record is from RNAcentral. Lineage: Bacteria; Pseudomonadati; Pseudomonadota; Alphaproteobacteria; Sphingomonadales; Sphingomonadaceae.
UUCAACCGGCCCUGUCGAGGUUCCCCAUCCCAGGCGUGGCGAUGGGGCUAAGACGGGAAGCCGGUGACGUUCCAGAAGGGGCGGAUUCCGGCGCUGCCCCCGCAACUGUGAGCGGAGAGCGGCAGUUCCAUUUCGUGUCACUGGGCCCUGUAACGGGUCCGGGAAGGCCGGAACUGCCGUGUUGACCCGCAAGCCAGGAGACCUGCCUCCGACGCGAUAACGUU